UUCCAGCGAUUUCUAUUUGGGAAUGGAGGUCUAGUUUGGUGGCUCAAGCGUGACCCAUCUACAAUAGGCUCAAUGGUCGUUUUCAGCGUAGAGAGUCGCAAGCUCCAGUUGCACGAAGGAGAUGACAGUGGUGGCGUUCUGACGAACUGAAGACCUCUGAGUGUGAGCCUCCUCGGAGCGGAAGCAAACCGCGAUGGUGGACGCGGGUCAGUCUUGAUUGCGACUGAGUGCAAUCGGCGUCACGACAACGACGCGUCGCGAGAGACCUCCGACGACGAGGAGGAGAAGGUUGAAGAGCUGAUUAUCUGGUGAUGGCAGUGUAAAAAAUGACAUUGUGAUGCCGCCGUGGUUCUGAUUCUGCGUUUUAGGGUUUAGGUUGUUCAUCAAUUUUUUGGGGGUUUUGCUUAUGAUGAUCUGAUCUCGUCUGCAACUUCAGAUGUAAGGUUUCGUUCGAAUUAAAUUCGGGGUUUUCUUGUUCUUGUAUUUCGAUUAAGGUUGAUGGUUGUGAUGUUCGUCUCUUGAAUUGAGAGUGUUGUUUUGUUAACUUAUGUUUGGUUCUUCUUUAGUUGCGUGAAUGGUGGCCACGGAGGGCUGGUGGAUGCCGCUGUAGGGUCGCAGUGACGACGUUGUUAGCUUCUGACUGGGAUUACCUAAACUUGGGUUGGACUGCAGUUUGGGUUGGGCUGGCAAAUAUUGGUUGGGUUAACUAAUGUGGGAGGGGCACGUGGAUGUCUUUUUUAACCUCUGUAAAAAAAAUGCCACCUAAUUUUUUAUUUUAUAAUUUUAACCUCACUGCCACACAAUCACAUAACAUAACAUUGACACGUCAUUAAGUUUAGUCCAGGGGCACCAACACUGUUAGAUAAUUGACGCCAUUACGAAAAAGGAGUAACUUGAACUGGUUUUUCAAAAAGUGGGAUCAAUUGUUAUGCAAAAAAAAAAAGAAGAUAAGACCAUUUUGAACACAACCCUCAAACUAGGGACCAAAAGCGAUAUUAAGCCUUAUAUAUAUAUAUAUAUAUAAUUUAAAUAUUAAAAAAGUGAC
Molecule: long non-coding RNA, 1045 nt
Filed under: Vigna radiata
Lineage: Eukaryota; Viridiplantae; Streptophyta; Magnoliopsida; Fabales; Fabaceae
Description: long non-coding RNA (VRAD_LNC000079)
Source: RNAcentral